AACAGCACUAAUGUUCAAGUCAAAGUGAACCCUUUUAAGCACACAUGCCAGGAAUCAACCCUUAGGAAGGAUACAAUCAGUAGAGCCAAGUCAAGAUGGUUGGCAGAAGAAGUAAAGAAGUGGGUGAAAGAAAACCAGCAAAUGGGUCCAAAGGAAUUGCAGAAGAACAUCAAAGAUAAGUUCAAGAUAGAUUUACCAUACAUGAGGUUGUUCAAUGGUAAACAACAUGCUAUGGAUUCUAUUUAUGGUAACUGGCACGAAAGUUUUCAAUUGUUGUAUUCAUUCAAAGGUGAAGUGGAGAUGACAAGCCCAGGUAGUAUUGUAGAUAUUGAUCACCACACCGUGGAGUACACAUUCAGGGGAGUGACAAAGACCAAGGAAUGCUUUAGGAGGGUUUUUGUUUGCUUUGAGGCUUGUCGCCGGGGUUUUUUGGCAGGCUGCAGGCCUUAUUUGGCUAUUGAUGCCACUUUUCUCACAGGGAGGUUUAAAGAACAGUUAGUAGCAGCUUGUGUAGUUGAUGCACACAAUUUUGUAUUUCCAGUUGCCUACGGUGUGCUGGAGACAGAGUCUGAGGAGAGUUGGACUUGGUUUUUGCAUAAUCUGCGCCGGGCUAUUGCACAUCCCAAUGGGUUGGUCAUUCAUACAGAUGCAUGCAAAGGUUUAGAAGUGGCCGUGGACAAUGUGUUCCCUGGAGUAGAGCAUAGGGAAUGCAUGCGUCACCUUGCUGCAAAUUUCAUGAAGAAAUUCAAAGGAAAGGUGUAUACCGACAAUUUAUGGCCAACAUCUUUGACUUGCAGUGUGAAGAAGCACAACUACCACUUGAGGCAGUUAUACAUGAAUCCCAAAGUGAAAGAAUACUUGGAAACACACCACUCCAAGUUAUGGGCCAGAAGCCAAUUCAGUGAACUGAGAAAAGUUGACCAUGUGCACAAUAAUCUAGCAGAGUCUUUCAAUUCAACAAUCCGGAAACUAAAG
This 975-nucleotide ribosomal RNA is filed under the name Triticum aestivum (bread wheat). RNAcentral's name for it is "partial small subunit ribosomal RNA". The record is from RNAcentral. Lineage: Eukaryota; Viridiplantae; Streptophyta; Magnoliopsida; Poales; Poaceae.